Molecule: ribosomal RNA, 483 nt
Filed under: uncultured bacterium
Lineage: Bacteria
Description: partial 16S ribosomal RNA
Rfam family: Bacterial small subunit ribosomal RNA
Source: RNAcentral
UUGAACGCUGGCGGAAUGCUUUACCCAUGCAAGUCGAGCGGCAGCACGGGGGCAACCCUGGUGGCGAGCGGCGAACGGGUGAGUAAUACAUCGGAACAUGCCCAGUCGUGGGGGAUAACACUUCGAAAGAAGUGCUAAUACCGCAUACGUCCUGAGGGGGAAAGCGGGGGAUCGCAAGACCUCGCGCGAUUGGAGUGGCCGAUGUCAGAUUAGCUAGUUGGUGGGGUAAAGGCCUACCAAGGCAACGAUCUGUAGCUGGUCUGAGAGGAUGAUCAGCCACACUGGGACUGAGACACGGCCCAGACUCCUACGGGAGGCAGCAGUGGGGAAUUUUGGACAAUGGGGGCAACCCUGAUCCAGCCAUUCCGCGUGAGUGAAGAAGGCCUUCGGGUUGUAAAGCUCUUUCGGCAGGAACGAAACGGUGAGCUCUAACAUAGCUUGCUAAUGACGGUACCUGAAGAAGAAGCACCGGCUAACUACGUG